RNAcentral lists this ribosomal RNA (447 nucleotides) under uncultured bacterium. RNAcentral's name for it is "bacterial SSU rRNA". It matches the Rfam family "Bacterial small subunit ribosomal RNA", at positions 329 to 793 of the family's 1533-position model. The record is from RNAcentral.
GACCAGACUCCUACGGGAGGCAGCAGUGGGGAAUAUUGCACAAUGGGGGAAACCCUGAUGCAGCGACGCCGCGUGAGCGAUGAAGUAUUUCGGUAUGUAAAGCUCUCUCAGCAGGGAAGAAGAUGACGGUACCUGACUAAGAAGCCCCGGCUAACUACGUGCCAGCAGCCGCGGUAAUACGUAGGGGGCAAGCGUUAUCCGGAUUUACUGGGUGUAAAGGGAGCGUAGACGGCGAUGCAAGCCAGAUGUGAAAGCCCGGGGCUCAACCCCGGGACUGCAUUUGGAACUGUGUGGCUGGAGUGUCGGAGAGGCAGGCGGAAUUCCUAGUGUAGCGGUGAAAUGCGUAGAUAUUAGGAGGAACACCAGUGGCGAAGGCGGCCUGCUGGACGAUGACUGACGUUGAGGCUCGAAAGCGUGGGGAGCAAACAGGAUUAGAUACCCGAGUAA